This 73-nucleotide transfer RNA is filed under the name Planctomycetaceae bacterium. RNAcentral describes it as "tRNA-Glu". It matches the Rfam family "tRNA". Rfam says of the family: Transfer RNA (tRNA) molecules are approximately 80 nucleotides in length. Their secondary structure includes four short double-helical elements and three loops (D, anti-codon, and T loops). The record is from RNAcentral. Lineage: Bacteria; Pseudomonadati; Planctomycetota; Planctomycetia; Planctomycetales; Planctomycetaceae.
GGCCCCAUCGUCUAGAGGCCUAGGACAUUGGAUUUUCAGUCCAAGAACAGGGGUUCAAAUCCCCUUGGGGUCA